This 700-nucleotide ribosomal RNA is filed under the name Klebsiella ornithinolytica. RNAcentral's name for it is "partial 23S ribosomal RNA". It matches the Rfam family "Bacterial large subunit ribosomal RNA", at positions 146 to 888 of the family's 2925-position model. The record is from RNAcentral. RNAcentral also lists the same sequence under 1 other name. Lineage: Bacteria; Pseudomonadati; Pseudomonadota; Gammaproteobacteria; Enterobacterales; Enterobacteriaceae.
CACUAUCGUUAAGUGAAUACAUAGCUUAACGAAGCGAACCGGGGGAACUGAAACAUCUAAGUACCCCGAGGAAAAGAAAUCAACCGAGAUUCCCCCAGUAGCGGCGAGCGAACGGGGAGGAGCCCAGAGUCUGAAUCAGCGCGUGUGUUAGUGGAACGGUCUGGAAAGUCCGGCGGUACAGGGUGAUAGCCCCGUACACUAAAAUGCACACGUUGUGAACUCGAAGAGUAGGGCGGGACACGUGGUAUCCUGUCUGAAUAUGGGGGGACCAUCCUCCAAGGCUAAAUACUCCUGACUGACCGAUAGUGAACCAGUACCGUGAGGGAAAGGCGAAAAGAACCCCGGCGAGGGGAGUGAAAAAGAACCUGAAACCGUGUACGUACAAGCAGUGGGAGCCUACUUGUUAGGUGACUGCGUACCUUUUGUAUAAUGGGUCAGCGACUUAUAUUCUGUAGCAAGGUUAACCGUAUAGGGGAGCCGCAGGGAAACCGAGUCUUAACUGGGCGUUAAGUUGCAGGGUAUAGACCCGAAACCCGGUGAUCUAGCCAUGGGCAGGUUGAAGGUUGGGUAACACUAACUGGAGGACCGAACCGACUAAUGUUGAAAAAUUAGCGGAUGACUUGUGGCUGGGGGUGAAAGGCCAAUCAAACCGGGAGAUAGCUGGUUCUCCCCGAAAGCUAUUUAGGUAGCGCCUCGUGAA